RNAcentral lists this long non-coding RNA (2133 nucleotides) under Solanum tuberosum (potato). Its description in RNAcentral is "long non-coding RNA (STUB_LNC002398)". Lineage: Eukaryota; Viridiplantae; Streptophyta; Magnoliopsida; Solanales; Solanaceae. The record is from RNAcentral.
UCAGUGUAUGCACGUGUUUGCUAAUUACUGGUCCGAGGUCUGCACCAGGCUCAGUUCCAGCAUUUACUUUAGUACCUUUAUGCAUUCUGCUAGUUUAUCUUCCAUGUCAGGAAUAAUUAAGACACUCAGCAUAUAAAUAGAGCAAACAUGCACUAAUUAAAUAACUGCGAAGCAACAGCAAAAUGAAAUCUUGCACAGCACGAGUCUCUGAGAUAAAGAUUGGAGCAGUUAAAAGUAUAAGAUCAACCUGAACUUGGAAAAGGAUAUACAAGUCCACCACUAAAAUGUGAAAAAAUGUAUGAUCCAUACCUUGCCUUGAACCUUACUAAACUAAAAAAAAUUACUGAACUUAAACUUGUCUAUUCUUUUUUUGCACUUACCAGAAAAGGAAGAGUGUGACGCCCUAUAAUCCAACUCCUCAAACUAUAAGAAACGAACUUCCUUAUUUUCCUUUGAUAACAGUGGCGUCCGCGCUUACUAUUCCACUAGGUACCUGGUACCUUCCACAGCACACCUACCGAGUAACUUUAUCCACCAAGGCUUAGGCAGAUGGGAAAGAAUCACUAAGUGUUUUAUUGUCUACAUUGGGAUUUGAACCAUAGUCUGCAUGGUUCACCCCUACUUCAUUGACUUAGGACACACCCUUCGGUGCAAACAAUGACCUUCCUCUCCAUACAACACAGAAAGGUGCCAUUCUUGGAACAGACUAAUAAGGAGAAAGCGACACAUUACCUGGAACAAAAGGAGUAAUUCUAAUGAAAUUUAAACUCAACUUGGGUGUGUUCGGUACCAAGGAAAAUGUUUUCUAAGAAAAUAUUUGGGUUUCUUACUUAUUUUCUUGUGUUCAGUAUGUAAGCAAAAGUAUAUUACCUAAAGGCAAUCGUAUAUAAUCUAGACAAAUACUAAGGGAGGUAGGGGUGUGGGGUGGUGACGAUGGGGGCUAUGGAGGUAGGGGUGUGGGUGGUGAGGAUGGGGGCUAUGGAGGUAGGGCCGUAGGGGUGAAGAUGAAGUGUGUUGGAGGGUGGGAAGUCACGGUCAAUGUGGAAUACGACUUUUGAAACUUGUUUUCCAUACUUUCAUUAGGGAAGUCAUUUUCCUUAUUUUUAAGCAACUUGAUUUCCUUGAGAAAAUGUUCUCCAAAAAAUUGACCAGCCGAACAUGGGAAAAUUGAAACCAUAAAAUGUUCUCCCCAUUACGCAAACACAUAAGCUAUCAAAGAACUUCUGAAUUUUGAAAAACUCACAAUCGGUUGCUUAAAUCUUAAGCAAUGAAUGGAGUGCUAAAUCUUUCUUUAGCUUUAAUAAGUCCAAAAACCUCCCACCAAGCUAUCAUAAGUCUUAAAAUUAUAAAUUCGUUACUCCUCUAACUUGUCUGAAGUUAAAAUAGCAUGUAAGUUUGUCUACUAUGUAAGUGCUUUAACUUGAAGUGUUAGAGACAGACCUUAAUUUUGAGUUUAUAUACCUAAAAGAUUUACAAGCAUCUUAACUUGAGCAACUUUGGAUGCUUUUUAUCCUUACGGUGCAUAGCAUUUGAUUUCUUGGACUAUCUAGAAGGGCGAAGUGGAGUUAUCUUUACAAAAAGAGACUAAUGGUAGUCAUGCAUACAUACUAGAAGAAUGAACUUUUCUUAAGUGACAAUCUCUUUGACAGUCAGCGAAGAAUAUAACAUACAGUCACCUUCCAGAAAACAGGAAAGUUCUUGCCUCAGCAACAAACAACAGACAAACUGGAAUUUAAGAAAAAAAAAGCAGAAAAGCGAGUUGAUCAGAUGAAAAACUGGAGAAUUAAGAUGAGUACCGUGAUUUUGAGCCUCCAACAAAGACCAGUGCUAAUUGUUGUGCACCGUUCCCCUGCAACACCAAAACCAGCAGCAACUAGAACAUUCAAAGUAGCUUCAACAUUUGUAUAAGGCAUGACAACAGCAUAAUUCUUGGUUCCCAUGUUGGCCUGAGGAGAAAAGUUAAAACAGUGAGUUAGCAACAACUAGACUAUGGUGCAUGGACUCGUUUACCAGUAUGUUUGAAUAUCGGUGUGUACAAGUAUUGUGUACGGACAUUUUUUUUCCCUUUUUCUGAAUAUCCAGUACAUUUUAAAGAUAUAAAUAAAGUAAGUAGCUACUUAGAGAAAGAAAUUC